RNAcentral lists this transfer RNA (21 nucleotides) under Lucania goodei (bluefin killifish). Its description in RNAcentral is "partial tRNA-Glu". RNAcentral also lists the same sequence under 1 other name. The record is from RNAcentral. Lineage: Eukaryota; Metazoa; Chordata; Actinopteri; Cyprinodontiformes; Fundulidae.
UAAGGUUCCCGUAGUUGAAUA